This 555-nucleotide ribosomal RNA is filed under the name uncultured bacterium. RNAcentral's name for it is "partial 16S ribosomal RNA". It matches the Rfam family "Bacterial small subunit ribosomal RNA", at positions 355 to 902 of the family's 1533-position model. The record is from RNAcentral.
UGGGGAAUUUUGGACAAUGGGGGCAACCCUGAUCCAGCAAUGCCGCGUGUGUGAAGAAGGCCUUCGGGUUGUAAAGCACUUUUGUCCGGAAAGAAAACGUCGUGGUUAAUACCCGUGGCGGCUGACGGUACCGGAAGAAUAAGCACCGGCUAACUACGUGCCAGCAGCCGCGGUAAUACGUAGGGUGCAAGCGUUAAUCGGAAUUACUGGGCGUAAAGCGUGCGCAGGCGGUCCGCUAAGACAGAUGUGAAAUCCCCGGGCUUAACCUGGGAACUGCAUUUGUGACUGGCGGGCUAGAGUAUGGCAGAGGGGGGUAGAAUUCCACGUGUAGCAGUGAAAUGCGUAGAGAUGUGGAGGAAUACCGAUGGCGAAGGCAGCCCCCUGGGCCAAUACUGACGCUCAUGCACGAAAGCGUGGGGGAGCAAACAGGAUUAGAUACCCUGGUAGUCCACGCCCUAAACGAUGUCAACUAGUUGUCGGGUCUUCAUUGACUUGGUAACGUAGCUAACGCGUGAAGUUGACCGCCUGGGAGUACGGUCGCAAGAUUAAAAACUC